Molecule: ribosomal RNA, 403 nt
Filed under: bacterium
Lineage: Bacteria
Also listed under: 1 other name
Description: partial 16S ribosomal RNA
Rfam family: Bacterial small subunit ribosomal RNA
Source: RNAcentral
UGGGGAAUAUUGCACAAUGGAGGGAACUCUGAUGCAGCGACGCCGCGUGAACGAAGAAGGCUUUCGAGUCGUAAAGUUCUUUUAUAUGGGAAGAUAAUGACGGUACCAUAAGAAAAAGCCCCGGCUAACUACGUGCCAGCAGCCGCGGUAAUACGUAGGGGGCUAGCGUUGUCCGGAAUCACUGGGCGUAAAGGGUUCGCAGGCGGAAAUGCAAGUCAGGUGUAAAAGGCAGUAGCUUAACUACUGUAAGCAUUUGAAACUGCAUAUCUUGAGAAGAGUAGAGGUAAGUGUAAUUUUUAGUGUAGCGGUGAAAUGCGUAGAUAUUAAAAAGAAUACCGGUGGCGAAGGCGACUUACUGGGCUCAUUCUGACGCUGAGGAACGAAAGCGUGGGUAGCAAACAGG